RNAcentral lists this ribosomal RNA (450 nucleotides) under uncultured bacterium. RNAcentral's name for it is "partial 16S ribosomal RNA". It matches the Rfam family "Bacterial small subunit ribosomal RNA", at positions 354 to 796 of the family's 1533-position model. The record is from RNAcentral.
GUGGGGAAUUUUGGACAAUGGGCGCAAGCCUGAUCCAGCAAUGCCGCGUGCAGGAAGAAGGCCUUCGGGUUGUAAACUGCUUUUGUACGGAACGAAACGGUCCGGGUUAAUACCCUGGGCUAAUGACGGUACCGUAAGAAUAAGCACCGGCUAACUACGUGCCAGCAGCCGCGGUAAUACGUAGGGUGCAAGCGUUAAUCGGAAUUACUGGGCGUAAAGCGUGCGCAGGCGGUUUUGUAAGACAGGCGUGAAAUCCCCGGGCUCAACCUGGGAACUGCAUCUGUGACUGCAUUGCUGGAGUGCGGCAGAGGGGGAUGGAAUUCCGCGUGUAGCAGUGAAAUGCGUAGAUAUGCGGAGGAACACCGAUGGCGAAGGCAAUCCCCUGGGCCUGCACUGACGCUCAUGCACGAAAGCGUGGGGAGCAAACAGGAUUAGAAACCCUAGUAGUCC